GUUCAUAAUCAGAUGUCUUAUUUCUUGACUGAGAAGUAAACUAGUGACAAUGUGGGCCUUACUAGUGAUUGUUAUAUCAUCAAUACUCAUAACUUGUGCCAGUAUACCAACAAAACCACCCAUAUGGCCUUCAGCAUUCUCGGUAGAUUUUGUAGAGGACAUAUCUUUCGCUAUAGUGAAAUAUUCCCACAACAAUGGAACGUGGUAUUAUGACUUUCCAAAUGGAAGAGCUAGGUACGACCAUCUUCGUGGACAGAAAAAUAAUUUUUGUGGAGGACAAAAGCUUAGUGACCAUGACCCACAGGCUCCGUGUAGUCUUUUAUUUACUAACCAUAGUAACAUGUAUGUAAUCUAUCCAGAGGCAAAGACAUGUUGUAUUCUGUGUGGCGAAAAAGAAGGUUGCACUGUUCUUAAACCAACUUGGUUGUCGAAUUCCUCGUAUACCGGCGAUAAAGUAUUUGAAGGAAAGAAUUGCCAUGGCUGGGCGGAACCAGGACAUAUUUUUACAGACGAACUUUACGUUACGGACGAAAAUGUUCUUUGUCAGUACCACGAAAAGUCGUUUGUUGGUGAUUUGAUUCAUACUCUAACAUUUAACCAAGCAAGUUAUAAAAUACAACAGCCAGAAACCUCGAUAUUUGAUAUUCCUAGCUAUUGUAAGGAUGUUUGUCCUCGUCCAUAUCCAAACCACAUAAAAUACAAUCGAUCGAUAUUAUAAAUACGUGUAUAUAUAUAUAUAUAUAUAUAUAUAUAUAUAUAUAUAUAUAAUGCAGAUUAUUUAGAGAAUGAGAACAAUAUUUGUCUGUGAAUUUUAAUUUGGCCUCAUUUUGUAUGUUUGUUAUAUUUUUUGUUUUGUCGGUUUUGAAAAUAUUGUAAGGAAAAUGUUUUAAUGAACAACUUGAGGUCUUUAUCUGUCAUGAUAGAAACUACAGACCCACUUGAGCCUACAGCAAGUACUUUGUUAGUCAAUUGUUCAAAUAAAUGAUAUCAUAUACAUGUACUGUA
This is a long non-coding RNA of Mytilus californianus (California mussel), 1005 nucleotides long. RefSeq lists it as uncharacterized. NCBI's taxonomy places the organism in Eukaryota, Metazoa, Mollusca, Bivalvia, Mytilida, Mytilidae. The transcript is spliced from 2 exons. The record is from RefSeq and is a predicted model, not a curated record.